UGCGUAGGCGGGCUAAUAAGUCAGUGGUGAAAUCUCUCGGCUCAACCGGUAAACUGCCAUUGAUACUGUUAGUCUUGAGUUCGGUUGAGGUAGGCGGAAUGUGUAAUGUAGCGGUGAAAUGCUUAGAUAUUACACAGAACACCAAUUGCGUAGGCAGCUUACUAGACCGACACUGACGCUGAGGCACGAAAGCGUGGGGAGCGAACAGGAUUAGAUACCCUGGUAGUC
This 228-nucleotide ribosomal RNA is filed under the name uncultured bacterium. RNAcentral describes it as "partial 16S ribosomal RNA". It matches the Rfam family "Bacterial small subunit ribosomal RNA", at positions 568 to 795 of the family's 1533-position model. The record is from RNAcentral.